GCAGAACGCGAAGAACCUUACCAGGUCUUGACAUCCUUUGCCACUCCUAGAGAUAGGAUUUUCCCCUUCGGGGACAAAGUGACAGGUGGUGCAUGGUUGUCGUCAGCUCGUGUCGUGAGAUGUUGGGUUAAGUCCCGCAACGAGCGCAACCCUUGUUCUUAGUUGCCAGCAUUUAGUUGGGCACUCUAAGGAGACUGCCGGUGACAAACCGGAGGAAGGUGGGGAUGACGUCAAAUCAUCAUGCCCCUUAUGACCUGGGCUACACACGUGCUACAAUGGAUGGUACAAAGGGUCGCGAAACCGCGAGGUCGAGCCAAUCCCAUAAAACCAUUCUCAGUUCGGAUUGUAGGCUGCAACUCGCCUACAUGAAGCUGGAAUCGCUAGUAAUCGCGGAUCAGCAUGCCGCGGUGAAUACGUUCCCGGGUCUUGUACACACCG
This 438-nucleotide ribosomal RNA is filed under the name uncultured bacterium. RNAcentral's name for it is "bacterial SSU rRNA". It matches the Rfam family "Bacterial small subunit ribosomal RNA", at positions 954 to 1392 of the family's 1533-position model. The record is from RNAcentral.